UUCCCCCCUGCGGGCGUCGAUAAUCCCCAGCCUGAUGCCAGGGUCCGGCCCCGUCCAGAACUUCCUCCCAAGUCCACUUCUCCCGCCAGUCCAACUCGAACUCCGUCUGCUCCUUCCUCUGCUGCUUGGUCCUUUGGUGGUGGGUGAUUCUGUCACGGUUGUUGUCGGUGAAUGAGGACCAAUACGCAGCAGCCAAUUGUGCGCCGCCCAUGGGUCUCCCGGUCGCGACCGGCUGUGACAGAGCCUGGACACAAACCCAGAAUCUAUAGUGGCACAGCUAGCACUGCCUUAGACCACUGCUUUUCUGAUGGCUGUGGCCAUCAGAAAAUAACUCACCCUGGAAAUCCUUGAGGUCACGUACUGGUCGGAUUCUACAACAGUCUUAACCUGGCUCCAGUCAGACUCCUGCAGGUACAAAGUAUUUGUAGGCACAAGAGUCACAGAAAUACAGGAGCUCACGGACCCCCAGGCCUGGCGUUACAUGGACACGGAUAGAAAUCCGGCUGACGAUAUCACAAGCGACAAGAUGCUGUCUCAGCUUUCAGAACACAACCGUUGGAGUCAAGUUCCUCCUUUCCUGUGGCAGGCCCAGUCAUCCUGGCCGAGAAGCCUAGACCAUGUACCUCCUGAUGAAACAGAGGAGCUGCGGAAGCCUACCUUCUGUGGACUCCUGUCAGUGGACACCAAGUCGUUUCUUCCUGAUGUUGCCCAGUUCAACACUUUUCAUCCCCUCAGCCGACGAUUUCAAACAAGCAGAACUCAAAAUACUCAGACAUGCUCAGUCUGAGAGCUUCCCAGAAGACCUCUCCCUACUAGAGGCAGGCAAGCCAAUCCCUCUGAGCAGCCGUCUGGUGACGCUGGCCCCAGAGUAUGACAAUGACACCGGACUGAUUCGUGUUGGAGGUCGCCUUCGGAAGUGUGACCAGCUGUGCCUUGAUGCUCUUCACCCAGUGGUUCUGGACCCAGGUCAUCCGCUCACCAGGUUGCUGAUCAAGAAAUAUGAUGAGCAGCUGAGGCACCCGGGCCCAGAGAGGGUUUUUGCUGAGUUACGUCGAAGGUUCUGGAUACUGAGAGGGAGGGCAGCCAUUCGCCGUUUUCAGAUUGGCUGCACCGAAUGCAGGAAGUGGUGAGGCCAGCCUAGGAUGGCUGACCUGCCUCCAGUCCGACUGCGGCUCCACAAGCCCACAUUUUAUUCUACAGGCAUGGACUGCUUUAGACUGUAUAUCAUCAAGAUUGGCCGAAAAAAAUUAAAGAGAUGGGGCUUCAUCUUUAAGUGCUUGACCGCCCGGGCUGUACAAGUGGAUCUACUGACAAACAUGGAUUCCGAUUCGUUCCUAAUGGUGUUGAGACGUUUUGUCGCUCGAAGAGGAAAGCCCUUUGAGAUCCAGCCCGGUCGAGGAACACAUUUCAAGGGAGGGGAGCGAGAGCUACAGGAGGCCUUCAUGACUCUCCACCCACAGCUCCAGGAACAUUUAGCCAGUCAGAAGAUUUGCUUUGCCUUCAACCCACCAAGUGCACAACACUUUGGAGGAUGUUGGGAGAGGGAGAUUAGAUCCAUCAAGACUGCCCUGCAAACCGCCCUUGGUGCGCAGACCAUCUCUGAAGAGGUGCUGAGGACUGUCCAAAUCGAAAUAGAAGGAUCUUGAACUCCAAGCCUUUGGGAUAUGUGUAGCCAGACAUCGCGGAUCCGGAUCCAAUCACUCCUAACUCUCUUCUCAUGGUGCGGCCAGACUCGUCAGUACCACAGGUGGCCUACCCAGAGACUGAACUGCUUAGUCACAAAAAAUGGAGACACAGUUAGGUUCUAGCCAACCAUUUUUGGCACUGCUUUACAUGGAACUACUUACCUGCACUUCAUGGCCGCCAUAGGUGGCACAAGGAUAAGGAAGACCUUUUAGUUGGGACUGUUGUGAUGAUCGUGGAUGAUCAGUCUCCUAGGGCACUCUGGCAAGUUGGAACUGUCAAGUCAGUUAUCCCUGGAGCAGACGGUAAAGUGAGGACAGCAGAGAUCCAAGUCAAGGACAAACCUAUGUCAGGCCUGUUGCUCAACUCAUCCAGCUGCUUCUUCAAGAAGCUACUGACCCUUAGCUGGCUUGUCAGUUGAAGCAAAUAUGUACAACAUAUUUGGGGGCGGCUGUAAAAACAGCCAGCUCAUCUCCUUUCCAAGACCGCAACUUUAUUUUGGUUUUCCUUUAUUUUGGUUUUCCUUUAUUUUGGUUUUCCCGGGGUUACUUAGCGUAAUACUCGACCAGGCAGGUCCUCAGGCAGUCUGUAGUUUCCAUUCUGAUGACCAAACUGUUUUUCUCUCCAGCUUAUUCUACCUCAUUAGAAGAAAUUGCUAUUCUUUAUUGUGCUUACAGCUAAAUGUAAGUGCCAAAAUCCUGAUGUCUUGUUGUUUGGAGCUAAAUAGUGACUGUUGUAAAUAGGUACCAUUUGUGUUAAACUUGCUAGCUACCUAGCUUGUGUACUCCCGCUAGCAUUAGCAUUGUCAUCCAGAAUGCAUUACUAUUUCACAUGCUAAAUAGCGAUUAGCAUUUGUUAUCAUUUGUCUGUGGUGCUAGCAAAUUUUUGGUUGUAGAUCACUCAUGCUUAUUAUGUUUUAUACUGUGUAGAUAUUUCUACAUUGCUCUAUUGUUCUUCGUGCAUCUAGCAUGUGUUUUGGUCCACAUAGCCUGUUUAGUUGUUGACAUGCAAAUAGGCAUAUAUUUUCCCAACUGUGCCAUAGCCUAAGUUCUCCUCUUUUCUUUACAGAACCACAAUUAGUAUCAGAGAGAGUGGUGUUGCAUGUGUGUGUGUGGAUCUUCAUUAAACCCUUGAACUGGAACUACUGCUUCCUCGUGUUAUGAACGGACGCCCCGUGGUGGUUACUACCGGCCUAAAAUCCAGCACCUACAUUUUUUAUCCCUUUUUAUUGGUCCUUCGAAUUCAUAAACAACCCAUAUUUUUCAGUUUGUGUCGGCGUUACCCUCCCCUGUAAAGUUCACAUUGUUUGGCACCUCACCUCUCCUCCCUCAUUCAGAGAAUAUGAGACAAUGGCCUUGGAGACUGAGGAGUACAUACUUUUCACCAUCCAUGGCAAGCAUCCUCCUCAGCUACAAUUAAACAAAUCUAAAAACCAAAAGAAAAUGAUAGAAAUCCAUUGUGUGGCUGGUCUGUGUACAAACACUAGAGGGAUUUAAUUGUUUUCUAUUUGCACCUGUCUAUUUUCAAUGUGAAUAAGAGGAAUAUGU
RNAcentral lists this long non-coding RNA (3230 nucleotides) under Salmo salar (Atlantic salmon). Its description in RNAcentral is "lncRNA (ENSSSAG00000093892.1)". The record is from RNAcentral. Lineage: Eukaryota; Metazoa; Chordata; Actinopteri; Salmoniformes; Salmonidae.